RNAcentral lists this ribosomal RNA (541 nucleotides) under Bifidobacterium pseudocatenulatum. RNAcentral's name for it is "bacterial SSU rRNA". It matches the Rfam family "Bacterial small subunit ribosomal RNA", at positions 158 to 710 of the family's 1533-position model. The record is from RNAcentral. Lineage: Bacteria; Bacillati; Actinomycetota; Actinomycetes; Bifidobacteriales; Bifidobacteriaceae.
GGGUGGUAAUGCCGGAUGCUCCGACUCCUCGCAUGGGGUGUCGGGAAAGAUUUCAUCGGUAUGGGAUGGGGUCGCGUCCUAUCAGGUAGUCGGCGGGGUAACGGCCCACCGAGCCUACGACGGGUAGCCGGCCUGAGAGGGCGACCGGCCACAUUGGGACUGAGAUACGGCCCAGACUCCUACGGGAGGCAGCAGUGGGGAAUAUUGCACAAUGGGCGCAAGCCUGAUGCAGCGACGCCGCGUGCGGGAUGACGGCCUUCGGGUUGUAAACCGCUUUUGAUCGGGAGCAAGCCUUCGGGUGAGUGUACCUUUCGAAUAAGCACCGGCUAACUACGUGCCAGCAGCCGCGGUAAUACGUAGGGUGCAAGCGUUAUCCGGAAUUAUUGGGCGUAAAGGGCUCGUAGGCGGUUCGUCGCGUCCGGUGUGAAAGUCCAUCGCUUAACGGUGGAUCUGCGCCGGGUACGGGCGGGCUGGAGUGCGGUAGGGGAGACUGGAAUUCCCGGUGUAACGGUGGAAUGUGUAGAUAUCGGAAAAGAACACC